This 1883-nucleotide long non-coding RNA is filed under the name Homo sapiens (human). RNAcentral's name for it is "HSALNT0364350". The record is from RNAcentral. Lineage: Eukaryota; Metazoa; Chordata; Mammalia; Primates; Hominidae.
AUUGGCCCUUGACCAGCCUGAUUGGUUGCAGGAGGGGACCAAUCAGAGGUACCUCCCAUUUUUCAUCUGCAGCCCAAUGCAAAGUAAUGACAUGGAUCUGGAGAGAUUCUCUUAGGAGAGAAUCUGGCUAAGUGUCUAGCAGGAUGAUUGAUUAACAAGAUGUUUUGUUUUCAUCAUCUCAGAGAUAAGUACAACUAUUCUGUCAUCUAAUCUGCUAACUCCUACAUUAUCAAUACGCUGUAUUGAGGUAUAAUUGAUAUGCCAAAUAACUGGACACAUUCAACUUGUGCAAUUUGAUGAGUUUGGAGAUACACAUACAUCUGUGAAACCAUCACCAAAAUCAAGAACAACUUUCUCUGAUCUCUGUGGACAUGCUUAAAAUGGCUGACUCACACAGCAAGACUAUUUAACUGUGCCUAAAAUCAACCCACAUUCAGAUGCUAACUGUAAUCCUAUUCCCUGAUCCAUCAGGAAAAAGAGUCUGAUUGACAUAACUUGUCAAGUGUUCGCCCCAGCUUCUAUCAACUAUGGGGAAGGAAGGGCCAGAAGAGGUGUAACCAUCAUGGCUACCAGAGUACAUGGUUUCCAGGCCAAAUACCACAGUGUUCCAGGCAAGGAUGUGGUCAGUUUCCUUCUCUGCUGGAUCCCAAAGCCCAGGGCAGCUCUUGCACAUAGAUUUAAGAAAGUCUUUGUGGCUGUGGUGGCUUCAAAUCACUCCCGAGGCUUUAGAAGAAUAUAAUUGCCGUUCUAAGAAGAAUCUGAGGCCUCUAGGAGAUCUGCCAGUAGUGGCCCCAAUGUAUAACAGCACUAGCUCAGUGAAGAGAGAGAGAAAAGAUCUGAAGAGAGUGGUUGCAGUUUGAGCUCUGUCAAUGGGACAGUCCUGGGCAGGAGACUGGGGAGAAGAGGCGGCUUGCUGGUUUUCCUGAACCACUUCCACCCUGAAAGACUCCUUGCAUACAAUCAUCAGAGAAGAACCGUGGGAACCAAGAACCAUGAGCAGGAGAACCAUGAGCACACUGUUCGCAAUGGCCAAGAUUUGGAGGCAACCUAAGUGUCCAUCGACAGACAAAUGGUUAAAGAAAAUGAGGAAGGAAUAUCAAGAAAAUAGACUACAAAUAAAUGUCUUUUAUUUCUACUUCUUCAAUAUAUAUUAUAACAUUCUUCUUGCCAACUGAUCUUCUUGCCUCCAAUUUGACCCCUCUGAUCCACCAAGUAUUGCAUACUACCGUGUUUUGAGACAUAGGAGGAGGAAAAAACCAUGGCUGCGGAGGUGAUUUAAUAUCCUGUUGACUCUGAAGAAAAAUACACUUCUUCAUUAUAAGAGUUUUAUUGCCAAUGACUAGAAGGAAAUGUAAAGGGGACAACACAAGAUGACUAACACAGGAAGUUAUAAAACUCACAGCUCUAACUGUCAUGGCCCUGGGCCCAUGGUGCCUGAAUCCCUCUGGGAGUAUUAAAUGGAAGGCCCCCUGGUACCUGAAUUUUGUUUUAGUUUUCUCUCUCCAUCUCUGUGAUUACACAUAAAAUCAGCCAAGCACCUGCUCCCCUCCAGCCUAGAUAACACAUACCUCCAUGCUAUAAAGGGACAAUUUGACCAAGAGACACCCACCUCACCUGACCACAGAGCUGGAAAAUCUACUAUGUCAGACUUCCAUGCAACCGCUGGUGGGAGAAAGUUUUCACGAGUCUCUCUGGGCCCUUAUCCCUCUCCCCUGUAUUCCCAUCCUUAUCCAAAUCCACAUUUCACCAAACUCCCUAACGCUAAGCAGCUGUUGAAGUUCAGAUCACAGUCUCUGAGGAGCUCCUGGUUUCCCAUGGAAUGUGAUUUGCCUCAUCAUCUUACAGCCUGCCUCCACUUUGCUUUCUUAUCAUUUCAGAGGCUU